This is a long non-coding RNA of Triticum urartu, 796 nucleotides long. RefSeq lists it as uncharacterized. The record is from RefSeq and is a predicted model, not a curated record. Lineage: Eukaryota; Viridiplantae; Streptophyta; Magnoliopsida; Poales; Poaceae.
GGUCAGAGGAUGGACGAGCUCUUGUCCUUCAUAAUCCACUCCUAGACUGUUUCGUGGUGGCCGCGCUCCGUCCGACGUUUGCCCUCCAUCAUCCACUCCUUCCUCAAUGAUUUUGUGAUAGGGACCAUGGCGAUCGGACUUGCGGGCGACGCGACUACAGGACGUAAUUGAGCAUAUGCUAUAUUGGAAUCGAAGAGGACCUAAUGGGGAAUAUGUAGAGGCGCCCAUCGGGCUAGGGGAGGCUCUGCAGCGGCCGAAUCAGUCAGAGGCGAUCGUCGGGCAGAGGGGCGAAGUUGUGGUCGAUGGCGUCAUCUCGGCGCUCUUCUUCUCAAAUGCUUCCGCGGAGAGACACUGCGAGGCCUGGUGAUGCUUGUGGACACGAAGGCGCGGCAAUUCUUCGGCGGUGCUCACACGGACGAUUAACGGCGGCUACGGCUGUGCACUCGGGCGAGCUUGAGAUCGAGCGCUAGAGGAGAGGGAGAGAGCUCCAGAGCAACGGGAAAGUGAGAGGGGGUGCAGGGCAUCUCCCAGACGAGCGGAUGGGGACGAGGACGUGGGGGACAGCGCUAAGCAGGAGGUGGCAGCAGGGUGAGCCCGCGCAACACGCCUCUGCCUACAGGCAUAUGUUCAAGAAGACCUGGCCGUGGGCUGGCUUGGCUUCAGGUGAUUGCUCACAACAUUGGCCUAGGGUGACAAGACGUUAGGUUAUUGCUCCCUACAUUACAGUCUUUGGCCAAAGGGAAUCCACGACUUGCUCUAAGGUUUGUGAUAGUAAGGGAGGUGUUUGCUCUUCAAA